GGAAAUCGCAAGAGAGAGGGAAAAAAUUUCAGUUGAUGCAAAAUGGCAGAAGAAGGCACCAAAGCGGAUGCGCAGCUUUUUCAACUCCUUUCCAAUCUCCUCCAGCAAGUGGAGGCACUAACCAAUCAAGAAGAAGUUGAAUUGCGAUCCAAAAUUGAAGCACUGGGAUUAGAGGUUACCAAAGUUCCUUCAAAGUCGACAAAGAAUCUUGAUGAGCUGGAAAUCGCAAGAGAGUUGGAUAAAUUAUCAGCAAAAUUGGAUGAUGUAGAUGAAAUGAUUUCCUCAGCCAUGAAUGCAGAUCCACAGGUACAGUCACUCUUGAGUGGCACUGCUGAUGUAUGGAUGCCAGUUAUUACAGCUACUGCUGAAGAGAGACGUAAUUUUACAGCAGCACUUGGAGAUGAUGCUACUGAAGAAAAGGGGAAAACUUCAAUUUAAUUGCCGCUUGUCUGCUCUCACAGAAAAUAAUCUUUCUUAUAACCUAAUGUGUUUGCCAUAUCUUCCUAAACAUUGAGAUCAUUAUUUUUUUUCUCAAUAUUUUUCAUAUAUUCCAUUUUUCUUGUCCUUCAC
RNAcentral lists this unclassified non-coding RNA (570 nucleotides) under Hevea brasiliensis (rubber tree). Lineage: Eukaryota; Viridiplantae; Streptophyta; Magnoliopsida; Malpighiales; Euphorbiaceae. The record is from RNAcentral.